Molecule: small nuclear RNA, 280 nt
Filed under: Meriones unguiculatus (Mongolian gerbil)
Lineage: Eukaryota; Metazoa; Chordata; Mammalia; Rodentia; Muridae
Description: 7SK RNA (ENSMUGG00000010736.1)
Rfam family: 7SK RNA
About the family: 7SK was discovered as an abundant small nuclear RNA in the mid-70s but a possible function has only recently been suggested. Two independent studies have found that 7SK RNA binds the CDK9/cyclin T complex (known as elongation factor P-TEFb).
Source: RNAcentral
AGACAAUUUAGCAAUGGCAUCUGUCAUGCCAUUGUUCAGAGUGUUGAUCUGGCUGAUCAGGCUGGGUACAUUAGUGUUCCUUUGCACCAUCCAGUAACUCCGUGUGUAUCCCUCCCAAAGCAAUGCUCUUGACAGAAAGAAACACGCUUACCCAAAAGAGGAAGAUCAUCAAGGGUCAAGGGUGUAUGAGCAGCUGCUGUGACCCCAAGCUGGAACCUGCAAACAAGCUUCCAGGGUUAUCAGUCAUAUUGAACUAGGUCUCACCCUGACAGCUUCAUUU